Small nuclear RNA from Monodelphis domestica (gray short-tailed opossum), 90 nucleotides. The record is from Ensembl. Lineage: Eukaryota; Metazoa; Chordata; Mammalia; Didelphimorphia; Didelphidae.
AUGCUGUAUGAAAGGAAAGAAGGUUAUCAUUCCCCUUGAAAAGGGUGGAAGAGGUCCUAGUGGCCUUUACAACACAUAUAAUGAACUUUU